This 20984-nucleotide long non-coding RNA is filed under the name Populus trichocarpa (black cottonwood). RNAcentral describes it as "long non-coding RNA (PTRI_LNC003023)". The record is from RNAcentral. Lineage: Eukaryota; Viridiplantae; Streptophyta; Magnoliopsida; Malpighiales; Salicaceae.
UAUGAGAACUUUUAGAAAUGAGAUUCACAUGUUAAUAGAUAUUCGACAUCGAAAUAUUGUGAAGUUAUAUGGAUUUUGUUCAUUAAUAGAGCACUCUUUUUUAGUUUACGAGUUCAUAGAAAGGGGAAGUUUGAAGAUGAAUUUAUCUAUCGAAGAACAGGCAAUGGACUUGGAUUGGAAUAGAAGGCUUAAUGUUGUUAAAGGAGUGGCCAAUGCAUUAUCCUAUUUGCACCAUGAUUGCUCGCCUCCAAUCAUUCACCGAGACAUUUCCAGCAGCAAUGUUCUUUUAGAUUUGGAAUUCGAGGCUCAUGUUUCGGAUUUUGGGACAGCUCGGCUCUUGAUGCCUGACUCGACCAACUGGACCUCAUUUGCUGGCACCUUCGGAUACAUAGCUCCAGGUACAUAUAUACUUGAUUUCAUUCUUAACAUUUAUAUAUAUAUAUAUAUAUAUAUAUAUAUAUAUAUAUAUAUAUAUAUAAGCAGAACAAUACUACCAGUACUAUGAAAAUGAAGGGCUACUUUUGGAUGCUCUAAAGGUUAUGUAUAAUAAAUUGUCAUAUCAGCAGUACGGUACAGCCAGUACUAUGAAAAAAUGACCAGAAUUUUUGCAGAGCUAGCUUACACAAUGAGAGUGAACGAGAAGUGCGAUGUCUACAGCUUUGGAGUGGUCACAAUGGAAGUAAUAAUGGGAAUGCAUCCGGGUGAUCUCAUCUCAUCUGUUUCUGCAUCAGCAUUUUCCUCCUCGUCGUGCUCACAAAUCAACCAGCAUGCAUUGUUGAAGGAUGUGAUAGACCAGCGUAUCCCACUUCCUGAAAAUCGAGUUGCAGAAGGUGUGGUCUACAUUAUCAAAAUAGCAUUUGCAUGCUUGCUUGCCAAUCCCCAAUCUAGGCCAACCAUGCGACAAGUAGCUUCGAAGCUCAUAGCUCGAUGGCCUCCGCUGUCAAAGUCAUUCUCCGCAAUAACAUUGGAAGAUCUGAUGCCUCAAACAACUAUGACAGGCUGAGAAUUUUCCCAAAGAUUUUGUAUAAUUAGUAUGUGAUUGUUUCUACUUAUGUUACUUUCAAUUUUCGUAGCUUUGUUUGUAAUAAAUUAUUUUUCUGCUUUGUAUUUUGUUUCUUCAACGAUUAAUAUGUUUUAGUACAGUAUUAUUAUCAAUCAAAGUGAAUAAAGGCUCUUUGCUAUGAUGAGGACACCUGGGUUUCAAGAUUCUGUUUCAUCCGUUGUAAUAAAGGAAAUCUUCACUUCAAUAUUGAGCUGAGAUGAAUAAACUAGCAUAAGAGGCUUGUAGAAGGAGAUAUAUAUACCAAGAAUUGCUGCACAUCCUAUGCAUCUGCACUUAAACUAUGAAUCCACACUGAUUAUGCUACAAAAACUUAAACUAUCAACUACACAGAGUUCUUCACAGUGAACUCUUGAAGAAUCCUCCGUGCAGCCUGGAUUACAGGACUACAAUAGCAAACUGUCAAAAUGCAUUUGCCUAAAAAAAAGAGAGUGAACAAGCGAUUCGGCUUAAGGGAGUGAAACCUCUAAAGAUAGCAGAAUUACACAGAAGUAAAGAGAAGCAGAGAGAAUUUCUGAUGAAUGGAGAGAGAAGGUAUAGUUAGAAGCAGAGAGAAUUUUUAUUCUUCUUAAAAAUUCAUUUUGAAGGGAUAUAUAUAUAUAUAUAUAUAUAUAUAUAUAUAUAUUAUUUGAAAAUGAAUAGAACAAGAAACAAAUUUUUUGGCUCCGGCACUGCAUGGCUUCUUCUGACGCAAAAAUGUCAUUUUGCUAGUAACUAUUUGCCACCAUGUAUUUAAUAUAUGGCUUGCGCCAAGUAACCCUUAAUUGAAGCUAACAAACUUGUUUACGGUUUCUAACCUCUCUUUAAUUUUCAUUUUGUAUAGUUCUCACUGUCAAAUAUAUCGGGAUUGGCUCGAAUGACAUGAUAUAAAGUUGAGACUUUAUGUGAAUAUGCAGUUUUUAUUUACUGUGAAAUCAAUUUUAAGUUUAUAGAGUAUGCUUACCUUCUCAAUGUCUUGUAAUCCAGUUGAUGGACAGUCGAAGAAAGGAACCAGUAAGUUCAAAUUGCGUGAAUACAACUUGGUACCUGAUAAAAAAGCAAGGGGAAUGAAGAUUGAAUUCCAAGUAAUGCAAGCAGACUCUUAUAGACUUUCAUGGAACAAUUAGAGACGAGAAUUUGAUUGAAUAUAGUUUCAGAUCAGUUAGGGAUCUCUUCAGUAUCUGAUGAUUUGGCAUAAAUGAAACAGCUGAAGAUGUCUAAUCACAUAAAAGCUCAAAAGUUUUUACCUUGGAAUUUAAUGGUUGGAUCUUCAAAGAUACAAUCCUCAUCAUAAAUUGUUGACGUGAAAACCCCCUGCUUUUAAUAAAUAAUAGAGCAUUAAUUAGCAUGGGCAACUGUAUGAGUAUUUUGGUGCUAAAGGAGUAAUUAUCUGGAUCUUCUAUUGAGAGUAGGGUUGACAUUUUCAUGGAAUCAUACCCAAUGCAAUCCCAAAACCCAUGCUUGAGAAUAAAAUGAAAACAAAACUGAGGUUUUGUUUUUUUCUUUUCUAUUUCUUCUUUGAUGAACACGGUGCAAUUUUGUUAAGCCUGAAUGAAAAAGAAAGUUCAAGCCAAAACCAGACAAGGCUACAAAGGAAGUGGCAGUAACCCAAAACAGGAAAGAAGAGUAAUAUCCAAAAAAAAAAAAGAGUCAUUCCUUACUCUUCAUAACAACCAUCGUUUUGGUGUCAUUCCCUUUGAAAUCCAAAUGCUAUCUCAACUUCAAUCCCUUAAUUUAGCUUCUAAUAAUCUUGGUGGAUCAAUCCCAAAACAACUGGGAGAGUGCUCAAAUUUAUUACAGUUGGACUUGAGUCAUAAUAAGUUCAUAGGGAGCAUCCCAUCUGAGAUAGGCUUCCUGCAUUUUCUUUCAGUGGGAAUCUUCUGGCAGGAGAGAUACCAUCACAAAUUGGGCAAUUGAAACGGUUAGAAACGAUGAACCUCUCUCACAACAAACUUUCCGGUUUGAUUCCAACUGCUUUUGUAGAUUUGGCGAGCUUGACAGCUGUAGACAUCUCCUACAAUGAACUAGAGGGCCCUAUCCCCAAAAUCAAAGGCUUCAUUGAAGCUCCAUUUGAAGCUUUUAUGAAUAAUAGUGGUCUCUGUGGAAAUGUCAGUGGUCUAAAGCCUUGUACUCUUCUUACAAGCAGGAGAAAGAGCAACAAAAUUGUCAUUUUGAUUCUUGUUCCUCUCCUGGGCAGUCUACUUCUACUACUUAUCAUGGUUGGGUGUUUAUACUUUCCCCACCGACCAAGUAGAGAAAGAAUUUCCUGUUUAGGAGAGCGACAAAGUCCACACAGUUUUGUAGUAUGGGGCCAUGAGGAAGAGAUCCUACAUGAAACUAUCAUCCAGGCCACUAAUAAUUUCAACUUCAAUAACUGCAUUGGGAAAAGGGGAUACGGAAUUGUUUAUCGAGCCAUGUUGCCAACAGGUCAGGUGGUUGCCGUGAAGAAACUUCACCCAUCAAGAGAGGGCGAGCUUAUGGAUUUGAAAACUUUUAGAAAUGAGAUUCGCAUGUUAAUAGAUAUUCGACAUCGAAAUACUAUGAAGUUAUAUGGAUUUUGUUCAUUAAUUGAGCACUCUUUUUUAGUUUACGAGUUCAUAGAAAGGGGAAGUUUGAAGAUGAAUUUAUCCAGCGAAGAACAGGCAAUGGACUUGGAUUGGAAUAGAAGGCUUAAUGUUGUUAAAGGAGUGGCCAAUGCAUUAUCCUAUUUGCACCAUGAUUGCUCGCCUCCAAUCAUUCACCGAGACAUUUCCAGCAGCAAUGUUCUUUUAGAUUUGGAAUACGAGGCUCAUGUUUCGGAUUUUGGGACAGCUCGGCUCUUGAUGCCUGACUCAACCAACUGGACCUCAUUUGCAGGCACCUUCGGAUACACAGCUCCAGGUACAUACUUGAUUUGAUUCUUAACAUAUAUAUAUGAAUCAAUUGCUAAAUUUCUGUUUAUAUGCAAUAAUGUUUUGGAGGCUCUCCAAAACAUUAUGACAUAUUAGAAGAACAAUACAGCCAGUACUAUGAAAAUGAAGGGCUACUUUUGGAUGCUUUAAUGGUUAUGUAUAAUAAAUUGUCAUAUUAGCAGUACAAUACAACCAGUACUAUGAAAAAAUGACCGAAUUUUUGCAGAGCUAGCUUACACAAUGAGAGUGAACAAGAAGUGCGAUGUCUACAGCUUUGGAGUGGUCACAAUGGAAGUAAUAACGGGAAUGCAUCCGGGUGAUCUCAUCUCAUCUCUUUCUCCAUCAGCAUUUUCCUCCUCAUCGUUCUCAGAAAUCAACCAGCAUACAUUGUUGAAGGAUGUGAUAGACCAACGUAUCCGACUUCCUGAAAAUCGAGUUGCAGAAGGUGUGGUCUACAUUAUCAAAAUAGCAUUUGCAUGCUUGCUUGCCAACCCCCAAUCUAGGCCAACCAUGCGACAAGUAGCUUUGGAGCUUAUAGCUCGAUGUCCUCCGCUGCCAAAGUCAUUCUCUGCAAUAACGUUGGAAGAUCUGAUGCCUCAAACAACUAUGACAAGCUGAGAAUUUUCCAAAAGAUUUUCUAUAAUUAAUAUGUGAUUGUUUCUACUUAUGUUACUUUCAAUUUUCGUAGCUUUGUUUGUUAUAAAUUAUUUCUCUGCUUUGUAUUUUGUUUCUUCAACGAUUAAUAUGUUUUAGUACAGUAUUAUUAUCAAUCAAAGUGAAUAAAGGCUCUCUGCUAUAAUGAGGACACCUGGGUUUCAAGAUUCUGUUUCAUCCCUUGUAAUAAAGGAAAUCUUCAAUUCAAUAUUGAGCUGAAAUGAAUAAACUAGCAUGAGAGGCUUUUAGAAGGAGAUAUACCAAGAAUUGCUGCACAUCCUAUGCAUCUGCACUUAAACUAUGAAUCCACACUGAUCAUGCUACAAAAACUUAAACUAUCAACUACACAGAGUUCUUCACAGUGAACUCUUGAAGAAUCCUCCGUGCAGCCUGGAUUACAAGGGGGUAUAUUCUUGUUUUGGUACAAAACCCCCAGCUAACAAAAUUUCCUUUGAAGCAAGCACUGAAACACUUGAGGCAAAAACACGAACUUUAUGACAGAUUUCAAAGUAGUAUGUUGAGUUUGGGCAAUUGAUCAAAGAACUUGACAUUCUAUACAGGAAAGAGAAGUUGUUAAAUGAAAACAGCUUUAUUUAACUAUAUGUUCCCUAAAAUAGUUCUCACUGUCAAAUAUAUCGGGAUUGGCUCGAAUGACAUGAUAUAAAGUUGAGACUUUAUGUGAAUAUGCAGUUUUUAUUUACUGUAAAAUCAAUUUUAAGUACCUUCUCAAUGUCUUGUAAUCCAGUUCAUGGACAAUCGAAGAAAGGAACCAGUAAGUUCAAAUUGCGUGAAUACAACUUGGUACCUGAUAAAAAAGCAAGGGGAAUGAAGAUUGAAUUCCAAGUAAUGCAAGCAGACUCUUACAGACUUUCAUGGAACAAUUAGAGACGAGAAUUUGAUUGAAUAUAGUUUCAGAUCAGUUAGGGAUCUCUUCAGUAUCUGAUGAUUUGGCAUAAAUGAAACAGCUGAAGAUGUCUAAUCACAUAAAAGCUCAAAAGUUUUUACCUUGGAAUUUAACGGUUGGAUCUUCAAAGAUACAAUCCUCAUCAUAAAUUGUUGACGUGAAAACCCCUGCUUUUAAUAAAUAAUAGAGCAUUAAUUAGCAUGGGCAACUGUAUGAGUAAUUUGGUGCUAAAGGAGUAAUUAUCUGGAUCUUCUAUUGAGAGUACGGUUGAGAUUUUCAUGGAAUCAUACCCAAUGCAAUCCCAAAACUCAUGCUUGAGAAUAAAAUGAAAACAAAACUGCAAUUUUGUUAAGCCUGAAUGAAAAAGAAAGUUCAAGCCAAAACCAGACAAGGCUACAAAGGAAGUGGCAGUAACCCAAAACAGGAAAGAAGAGUAAUAUCCAAAAAAAAAAGAGUCUACAACCCAAAAACAAAGACAAAAAAACAUGUAGGAACAAGAGAGAAGGUCAUUCAGCAGCAAGAAAAUGGUCUCUGGCAAGAUCUAAAUAGACAAACUGUUAUGGGAGAAAUACUUACGGUGCCUAUCUGUCUUGGAUUCAGCAGCAAGAAAAUGGUAUAAUGAGCCAUUUUUACAUAUUGCGCUCUGUUGUAAAACAUUGGGUUGUGUGUGCGGCAUUUAACAAGGCCUGCUCCAUGAGACAGAUUUUUCUACACGGGCCUUUAAGGCCCUUUGUUUUACACAGUUAGCCGCAGUCUAAGCUGAAAAAAAAAAAUUGCUUGAAACGCAGACAAAUGUGUAUCCCAAUGGGUGAAGUUGUAACCCACUAAUCAAACGCUUAGAAUCCAAUUUUCUUAAAGCCACUUUGUUUGUCUUUGAAAAUCAAUUGUUGGUAUUUUAAUAUUUUUAAAACAAAAACAGAAAUGAUUCUUAAGAAUCAAAAUUCUCGUUUUUAAUUUGCCAGUACCAUUAUUCCUUAUAUAUGCUCUUAUUAAUGACCAAUAAUUAGUCAAAUUUAAAGAAUUCAAUGAGUGAGGAAAACAUUAGAAAAAACAAAGGAAACGAUUGUCGGAUCUUAUAUUCAUAAGAUAAGUUUAUUUUGAAUUAAAUAUUUAUUUUGCUGUAUUUUUCAGUACUUGAAUGAGAAAAACUUGUUGAAAAAUAGUAUUAAAAAGAGAAAAUUGAUGAUUGGAACUGAUUUCAGUGACAAAAAAAUAUCAAUAUUGAUGUCAAGUUUAUUUUCAUCAAAAUAAAAAAAGGUUAAAAUUACAAAAUAUAUAUUUUUUUUAAAUAAUUGUAACAAAAUACAUAAUCUAAAUAUGUGUGCCAAACCAAAUUAACAAUUAAAGAUACAUAUAUUGAAUUCCUUGUCUUUUUUUUCAUCCUUCUUCAAUGUUGGGAUUUUUGUAUUUUUUAAUUUAAUCAUUCGGUUUAUUUUGAACCUGCAUCAUCAUGAUAUGCUUUAAUUUGAUUUAUAUAACAUCACCUCAUUUAAACAUCUUUACAUUUGCUAUUCAUUUGAUUUAUAAGUGAACCUACCAUUGCAAUAUAUAUAUAUCAAUCAACUUGCAAAUAGGUUGCACAAUUUUAAGGUCAUUGAAAGCUGACAUGAUCAUUAGCUUUAAAAUCCGUAAAAUUAGUUGAGAUGCACACAAGUUGACCUGAAUAUCUACAUUAACAAUAAUAAUAAUAAUAAAAAGAAUUCAUCAUGAAUCACACUAUGACCACAUCUAUAAAUUUAUUAAAAGGAAAUAUGAUCGACACAGAUAUAUAUAUAUAUCUGUGUCGAUCAUAUUUCGAUGCAUGAAUGAGUUUCUGUUUUCAAUAAUAUCUUUGUGUUUAUGUUGUUAAAGAGAAAUAUAAAACAAUUCUUGAAAUCUUAAAACGAUUCUCUGUUAAGCCCACAAAUUAGUUAAAUUCUUUGUUUCUUUACUUAUACAAUUAAAGAUAGAUAUACUGAAUUCUGUCUUUUUUCUUCAUCCUUCUUCAAUGUUAGGAUUUUUAUAUUUUUUUUGAAUUUGUCAUUCGGUUUAUUUUGAACCAAUAUUUGUAAUAUGUUUCAAAUAAAAUAUUCUCUGUUAGAGAAUAAUAUAAAUACUUUAAUUAACAACUUAAGUUAUUAGAUUGAGAUGAUUUUUUAACAUGGUAUCAGAGCCUUGAUGACCAAACGGUCACGAGUUCGACUCUCACCAUCCCUAUUUAUUUGAUAAAAAAUAAGCACAAGAUAAUAUGAACCUGUACAAGUUUCAAGUUCAAAAGAUUUUCAUACGAGAAAAUAUGUUAGAGAAUAAUAUAAAUCAUAUCUUGAGCUCAUAUUUAAUAACUUAAAUUAUUCAUUUGAAAUGGUUAUUUGACAUUCUCGUAUGAAUAUCUUUAACAUUUGCUAUUCAUUUGAUUUAUAUGACUUCCCGAGAACCCAAUGAGCACGAUAAACGUGUUUCUGUUGUCGGAUUGUCGGAUUUGAUAUUCAUAAGAUAAGUUCAUCAUGAAUCACACUUAACUGUAUACAUUAUGAUUUCAUCACAGAACGUUUUCCAUAAAUACUUUAUGAUUAUUAUCAAUAUCUCGAUGCAUGAAUGAGUUUCUGUUUUCAAUAAUAUCUCUGUGUUUAUGUUGCUAAAGAGAAAUAUAAAACAAUUCUUGAAAUCUUAAAACGAUUCUCUGUUAAGCCCACAGAUUAAUUCAAUUCGUUAAAUUCUUUGUUUCUCUACUUAUACAAUUAAAGAUAGAUAUACUGAAUUCUUUGUCUUUUUUCUCCAUCCUUCUUCAAUGUUGGGAUUUUUAUAUUUUUUUUUGAAUUUGUCAUUCGAUUUAUUUUGAACCCAUAUUUGUAAUAUGUUUCAAUUUGAUUCGUAAUAUGGUCUCGUAUGAACAUCUUUUAAUUAGCAUUUGCUAUUUUAUAUGACUUCCCAGUUCCCACACCGGAAUCUGUGGCUAAUGAAGGGGAGCAUACUAACUACUGAAUUUCCAAGUUCUUCAUGAUGCAUCUACUCUAUUAAUUAGCAAGUUCAAACCCAAUGAGCACGAUAAACGUGUUAUUGGUUGGUGAAGCUUUCAUGGCAUAUACAGAGAGGCCUCCAAUGCGACAGUCUGUGACAUUUCAUGACGGAUUCAUUGUAUAAGUAAAGAAGAAAAGAAAAGAAAAGACAGGUUGUCAAAUUCAGGAAUGUGAAAGCAAAGAAAACCACAAUAAAGCUGCACUAGAAAAAAAGGAAAGAGAAAAACCACAAUAAACGUGAUUGGCUAUGAUACGUUCCGUCCACUGGAGUAAAGAAAAACCGAAGAGAACAUGACUUCCCUGAGACCCCAUGGCGCAAUCUGGGGCCAAGGGAGUUUACUAACUGUUGCAUUUCCAUGUUCAUGAUGCAUCUACUCCAUGAGCAUGAUUAACAGGUUAUUGGCUGGUGAAGCUUUAAUGGCAUCAUGCUGUGGAUGUCCUAUGAAGCAAUUAACACGACAAGUUGUGAUAUUUCUUGACUGAUUCAACACUAGCUAGUGAUCUCUUCAACUUUGCUAAUUAAGCACAAAAACAACUUACAACAGAUCCACACAUAUCACAGGCAUCGGAAAUUUUAUACUGCCAAGAGAGUAACCAAUAAUAUCUUAUUAAUUAUUUUUUAGAUUUAUUUUAAAGAAAAAAUAGAUAUAAAUAGAAGAGAUAAAUAUUAAUCCUAAGUGUAGAUAUACAUGCAUAGAACAAUUUUCGAUCCACUGUCUUGAUAUGUCAUAAGACUAUUAUCCUUCUCUGACAUUAACAGCUACAUUCAAUAAUCACCAAUAGAUCCUUCACUACCACAAUCUUUAUAUUAACGACGGAUUUUUCUAUCGGUAUUUGCACUAUCAUUCCGUUGGUAAUUAAUUUACCAACGAAAUCACUGACGGAAAAGCUCUGUCGGUGAAUCUUUCGUUGGUAAUUUUUUGUCCGUUGGUAAUAAAAAAAUAUUAUUACCGAUGGAUUUACUGAUGAAAAAAACGUGCAAAAAAAAUUACCGGCUUUAUUCUGUCGGUAUUUCCCUCGGCAAAAUACCGUAUGUAAUUCCGUCGGUAAUUAUUUAAAAAUAUUUUUUAAAAAAUCUAUUUUAUAAAACUAUAAAAUAAUUAAAUUAAUAUAAAUCAACACUCUAUAAUACUCAAAAUGUUUGGAAAAAAGAAGAAGAAAAUAAACUCAAACAAAUUUGCAACAAAUAAAUAACACGAAAAAAUAAAUUCAACUAAAAACAUUCAUAUGAAAAAAAUUUAAAAAUCCUAUAAAUAAAUCAACAAAAAAUUGAUCUCAUAUAUAUAUAAAAAAAAUUCCUACAACAACAUUCAUACAAUUAUUAAGAUAAAAAACAAUUAAAAAUAAAAUAAAAAACAAAUAUAGUGAAAAAAAACACGAAAAAAGAAGAAAAAAGAAAAAUCUUACCUUAAUGUAGUUGCAAGUCAAGCUAAGAAGAGAAAAAAAAAUAAAUCCGUAAAGUAUACUAAUUAAAAAAAAACUAUGAAGAAAAAAGAAGAAAGGAGAAGAAGAUAUACCUGAGCAUGGAGGAGAAGAGAAGGAGUUGAGGAGAGAAGAGAAGAAAAAGAAAUGGAUAUUAAUGUUUUUUACAUAUGGAGAAGAAGAAGAAGAAGAAGACGAAGAAGAAGAAGAAAGGAGACGGGUAUGUUGUGAAAUUAGGGAUUCUAGGCUUUUAUUAUGGCGUUUUACCGACGGAUAAUUAAAUAUUAAUAUUUUUAAUCAUUCCGUCGGUGAUUCUGCCUGUAAUAUUUAAUUUAAAUUUUUAAUUUAACAAAAAUUUUCAAAAAUCGCCAAAUAUCACUGACGACUUUUCAAUCCAUCGGUGAUUCCACUUGUAAUAUUUAAUUUAAAAUUUUAAUUUAAUCUAAAUUUUUCAGAAAACCGCCAACUAACACCGACGACUUUUCAAUCCGUUGGUGAUUUUUUCUGUAAAAAACAGUAAUUAACAGUGCAAUUGGGAAGUGAAUAGUUCCAAAGCUCUUUGGAAAAUACCAACAGAAUUUUCUGUUGGUGAUUCUCUUUGUAAUUGACAUGAUAAACAAUGUUCAUAGUUUACCAACGAUUUUUCCGACGGAAUAAAUUCCGUCGGUAAUUCCGUUGGUAAAAAUGACACAUCAUCUUUUUUUUUACCUUGUUUUAAUUAUUUUUUUCCCACUGUAAUUCCCUCGGUAUAUACCGAGAGAAUAUUUUCAUCGGUAAAAUCCGUCAGACAUUUACCGACGAAAAUAUUCCCUCGGUAUUUCCGUUUGUAUUUAUCAAUUUUCUAGUAGUGCUUGUAGAAACCAAACGAAAUCAAUAGCAUGAACAGAAAUCAAAGAAACUAGAAAGAACAUAUGUACCAUCUCAAAACAAUUCAAUAAACAUGAAUAAAAAUCAAUAACAUAAUUAUGAAAUAAGGAUAAAUAAGUACUUGAAUAUGAAAGAAUUACAAUAAUUACGUUACUUCUAACAACUUAAUAAUGAAGAUGAUAUCUAUUGCUCUUGAAUCAAAUGUCAAAGUUUAGCUCAUAGCUGCUAGAAAAUUGACAAAAAUAGAGAAGAAAAGAAUGUUGCAGAGCUCCUAUUUUAGUAGUGUUCUACUCUAUUUAUUCUCUCCCUUGGCUGCUGAAUUUCUUCAGGAUUCUUAGGCUAAUUAGAAGUUCUUAUGCCUGCUUAAUUCUUUCCUUCUUUAUCUGAUCUUUAAGGUUGGUUAAAUCCCUUAGAAUUUUUAUUGAAAUCGGACUUUAUUGUUGUCACAACUCUGCUGUAAUAUAGACUUUGCUGCAACUUAGACUUUGUUUCUGACUUGGUUUUUUAUAAUAUCCGACCAUUCCAGCUAUAUUAUUUCAUUCAUGGACUGUUAUAGGAUUGAUUUACACCUUUCUUGGAUCCUACAACCCAUCAUUUCUAUGUCAGAAUCUCAGUCAUAGUGGGAUGCUUGACAUCGUUAGUUUUCUCAUCAGAUCAUAAAACCAAUCUCGUCCUUCAUAUUGCAUUUAGAUCAUGAUUUUAUCUAACUUGGUAUCCUUAAUGAAAGUUGUAGUCUUGAAGUGAAAAUGAUUUUAGGCUUUUGAAUUGUAUGAUUUUGAUGUCUGAGACUCAAGAUAUGCCUGUUUGAAUCUGUAGUGUGAAAGCAGAGAAUCCUGCAGCAAGUAGAAUUUCAUCUUGAUUUUGCAGGUCUUAUUAGAGUUCGAAACGAACUCGGAUUUCUUCCCAUAAUAACUUCUUGGAAAGCUUGAUAUGUGUACUUUAAUUUGACUCAGCACAUGCUUAUAUUAUGAAAUUAUAACAUAGUGAAACACCUAUCACAAGAAGAAAGGUCUGAAACAUAAAAUGUAGAAAUUCUUAUUUUUUAGCAAUUAAUUUACAAAGUCUCUUGGAGAUGUCAAACUCAUAAAAAUAAUUUCCAAUAAGCUCAAAAUACAUUAAAACACUUACUGUAAAAGAAAUAAAUUAAAACAUGUGUAUAUUUUGUACUUAUCAGGAAUUGAAAAUAAUCUAGUUGAGAUUGUUUACAAAGCCUCGACAAAUCAGCCACAAGUAGCAGCAGGGAAACAAGUUGUAUAUUGAGACACCUUAUCAUAAUCUAUAUUCAAUAAUCCAAGUGAGUAUACUAACUACAGAAAUCCCAACUUCAUGAUGCAUCAUGUCCACACUAUCUUAUCUUUAACUACAGAAAUCCCAACUUCAUGAUGCAUCAUUUGAAAAUUCAACCCUAACGAGCAUGAUAACAGUUUAUUGGUUGGUGAAGCUUUCAUUGCAUGAUCACGUAAAUGUACCAUGAAGUAACCCGAAGCAAUUAUACAGAGAGUCCACAUCUUACAAUGUGACAGUUUGUGACAAUUCAUGACGGAUUCAUUAAGCAAAGAAAAGCUGUUUCGGACCAUCCGACCACGAUACAAGGUUGAUUGCAAACGGACAUAAUUGCAAUCAAAUUCAUGAAAGUGAAAGCAAAGAAAACCACAAUAAUUAACACAUUAACUGUCGAAGAGGUAUUUAUGAUAAAUUUACGGGCUAUAUAAAUUGGAGAAUAAAGACAAGCAACAGAUUUCUGAUAUUGUGAACUUUUGAUUGGCUAUGACCCGUUCCGUCGACUAGACUAAAGAAAAAACAAAGAGAACAUGACUUCCUGAGACCCCAUGCAUGGCACAAUCUGGGGCCAAGGGAGUUUACUAGCUAUUGAAUUUCCAACUUCAUGAUGCAUCAUGUCCAUUCGUCCCAACGAACACGAUAAACAGGUUAGUGGUCAGUGAGGCUUUCAUGGAAUAAUGCUGGGGACGUACUAUAAGCAAUUAAUUAACACGACUAGUUGUGACAUUUCUUGAAUGAUGCAACACUAGUGAUGUAGUUUUUUAAAGAAAUAUUUCAUCCGGUAAGGUAAGGUUAUAAGAAUAAUUUUAUAUUAAUUUUUAAUAUAUUGUUUUGAGUGAAAAUUUUUAAAAUUUAAAAUUUAUACAUGUUUGCACUAUUUUAUUUUUAAUUUUAUUAAUUAGAAUAAAAAUAUUAAAAUUCAAACUCAUGAUUAUUCAGUCAUCAAAAUUCUAAUACAUCGUUCCAACAAAAACACUGAAAGCUACCAUGUAAACUUCUAAAAAUAAUUUUAUAUUACUUUCUAAUAUUACUUAACUUUACAAAGCAUGAAAACAACUUACAAUAGAUCCACCCAUGAUAUCACAGGCAUAGCUUGUUGGUUUAUAAAUUCUAGAAAGUAAUAAACUCGUGAAGAUUUCCUGAGUCAACGAGUCAAUGUACAGACAUUCAUGGUGUUACAAUCCCUUUUUUACCUCCAAUUUCUAUGCGUGUUUUCAAAAUUAUAUUUAAAAAAUAAAUUAGAUUUUUUAUAUUUAAUUUAAUUAUGUUGAUAAUGGAAAAAGAAAGGAAAAGGAGUUUAUGGUUCGAAAUUAGAGGAAAGAAAGAAAAAGAGACUACUGGACUAAAAAUAAUGGAUUGUAACACAAUAUUAUGAAAUGUUUUUUGUUUCAUUGUAAAAUAUAGAGAUGUGAUAUAAAAUGAUGCAGUAGAUAUGGAUUCUUGUAAUUUUAUAUUUAGUAGUGUUGGGGAAUCCGGCUCCCCCAUGCGCGGACCGGGGGUGUUCUGAUAUUUGCUCAACGGAGGGUAAAACACACUGACACAAUAUUUUACGUGGUUCGGCAAAUCCGCCUACAUCCACGGGAGAGAGUCAUUGUAUUAGAGAUAGAGAAAGGGUUACAAUAAAUACAUGUAGAGGAGGAGGAUUACAUCCACUCUACUCAACUCAUCAACUCUCAUUGCUGCUCUUGCAGCUGCUGCAAUGGCAGCAAGGCUGCUGCCAUUGCAGCUCUCUUUCUCUCCACUCUCUUGCACACACUCACGUUCUCUCUCUCAUUUUUCUCUCAAAUAUAAGCCUCCUUUAUAGGCAUUUCAUGGUCAACAUGGAGGGGCCAAUAGCCUUAAAGUAUGGCAUGAAUUGUGGCACAAUUCAUGCUUCCACUUGCUUAGUGGUGGGGUAUUGCCACAAAUGGCAAUAUCCUAACAAUCACCCCCUUUGCCAUUUGUGUGGGCAAUUGUCCUCUUGCUUCUUCAGCACAAGCUUGCAUUCUGCAGCUCUUCCAAGCUUCCAUUCUGAGAGCGUCUUCAACACAACAUUCCCCUUCGAGCGUAUCAACCAUGCUCGGUCCGGAAUGAUUUUUCAAGCCUUACACCAAGGCUUACAACACCCCCUCAAACAAAUAUUUCCAAGUGCGACAGUCAUUGAGUAUUUCAAUGUGAUCACAAGCUCACCACUCUUCCAAGAGUCUACUCAUCCAGGAGUUGCGCCUGCCCUCUGUUCCACCCUAGGAACCACGCCUUACUUCUCCGUGAGUCUCUCGCUCUUAGUCGUAAGAGUCCAGGUAGCUCUCCACCUUUAACCAUGGGGGCAGCCCAUAAAGGUUGAUCCAUAUCUGUCUUCAUACUCUGAGUAUUACAAUGCCAUUACCGAGCUCACCACCUUGACAAGAGUCAACUCGUUCUCGGAACCUGCGCAUGCCCUCUGCUCCUUCAUAGCAGUCGCGUCUUAAUGCUCCACAAGUCACACACUUAUUGUCCAAGGCAAAUGUCUUCCAGCUCAUUGAUCUUUAGCAUGGGGGCAAUAUCCAUGAAAGUCAAUCCUGCACUUGUCUCCAUACUCAUCAUAGCCACUUCACUGGCUAUCCAUCUGUCCACUCAUAUCCAGCCAUCAUAUUGGCUCUGGGGUUGUUCUGAACUUGGGCUCCUAUCAUGGCCCACACACCUUCUCCUUAGGUGUCUCCGCUCGUCGCCAUGCGGCGGUCUGAACUGGGGCUUCUAUCACGACCCUCACACCUUCUCUAAGGUGUCUUCGCCCGUUGUCAUAGGGCGGUCUGAUCCGGGGCUCCUUUCACGGCCCUCACACACCUUCUCUAAGGUGUCUUCACCUUUCAUAGGCGGUCGCAUCCUCCUUCAGCUGAGAUGCUUCAAAGUGGCUCCAAAAAUUCUCUACCACCAUGUGCACUUAUGAGAGAGAUUACUGCCACUGACUACAUAGAAAGAGAAAGUUGCGGUAUACUCCUCGCAAUCCUCCACCUCGAUUUCUAUGUUUGGAGCUUCUGUGCCUUUCUGCUUGACAGCUCCACCUACACCAACUCUCUUUGGUGUCUUCGCCUUUCAUCAUAGGCGGUUGCCUUGUAUCACAGGCAUUUGCACCCCCUCAAUUAGAUGCCUCUACAACAGCUCUCUUUCCAUCCUUGCAUGUAUUGGAAAGGUCUUCGCCUGUUGUCUUCAUUAAGAGCACAAGAGACUUCCUGUUGUACAAACUUUAACAGUCUCUGCUCUGAGCUUCAUCUGGGAACUCUUCUUCUCCUUGCACCUGUUGUCUCAUUACAGUAUCCCGUUGGAUCCUACGGGUACUCUGCACAAUCUCCGUGUGCCCUCGUGCAAUUUCUGUUCUCCAGAUUUUCCUCUAUUCCUUGCUUAUGUUUGACAGCAGCUCAUCCUGUCACAACACCUGUCUAAGUCAAAAUAGGGUGCCAAUCUUUAUCCCCUUGCUGUAUUCCUCUUCCAUUAUCAGGGUCUUCAUCAAUUCUCCCCUCGAGAAAUCACAGUCACCGAAUCUAACUUCUUUGGAGAAAUCACCACUUCAUCAGAUCCUUGAUCAUACGGAACCCAACUGUUCCCUUGUGCCGUCAUCCUGCUAGUCUUCAACCGUUUCAUUACAAACGGCUAUAUAUACGAAAAUAGUACCGUAUGGAUAAUCCUUCCACUAAGCAAGUUCCCAGGAAAGAUUGGAGGGGUCACACUGGUCCCGCUUAAAACCCAACCUCCUAGACAGAACUUCUUAGGCCAUAUCUAUCCAUCGUACUGUCGUUCCGUAUAUACAACCAUUUGCUAGCUUUGUUGCGGCUUUCCUUUACAAGUGAUCUGAAAUAUACUGGUUUAAUACAUCAUUUCUCAACAUCUGGCGAGACUACCAGUGCUUAGAUUCGUCAAGAUUGGUCUUCAUCAAUUUUCACUCUACACCUCUAAUUGUCCACAUGAUCGGGUGUCCAGAGUGUCCCAAUUUUACCUUCCCUCAAGGCAAUUCAAAUCUCCCCACUUAGCAGUUCAACACAUGUAAUUGGGUAAACAUGUGCACCUUCUUCUUCUUCAUCUCCAUCGACCACCAUGAUGACCUUCAGAUGCCUCCUGAUCGGGCAAUCUCUUUUGUUAAUUCACCACCGCCAUUUUUGGUCACAAAUUUCAACGAUCGGACCGUACCAUUGCAUCCGGAACGAUCAAAUUAGCUGGAAACAAGUCUGAAAUCGUCCAAAUCGCAUUUCAGACGGCUAAGAUUUGAUCAAAACAAUUCUGGCCUGAUGAACGACCCAGAUUCAAUCUCAGAUCCGGUUGCACAUAGACUCUGCUGCACAGAAUCUUAUCCCUCGGCUCGCGGCUCGGCUCGGCUCCAACACGGCUCGGCUCAACUCGGGUCGGCGUGGCUCGGCUUGCAGCUGGGUGACGUGGCAGGUGGGUCCCACAGUGCUGACGUGUCUGAUGACUGGACUCUGACAUGGCAUGCUGACUGUGCAUGAUGGCGUCAUGAUGACGUCAUCAUUAUCCGGGUCUGGCACGUGGGUCGGGUCGUCUGGUAUUCGGGUCGGGUCAGCCCAUCCGGGCGAAGAAGACGCGUGUGACGCGUGGCGCGCGUCUGUGCGUGUGGGCAGUAACCUCGCUGGCGCGUGAGGACGUUUCCGACGUCCGAUUUCGACGCGGUUUUCAACAGUGGCUUCGUCUCUUCCUCCUCUACACAGUGGUAUGGUCAAAACACAAUUUGGACAACUUUCAUUUUUGAGCAAAAUCAAACACCCCUUUAAACCAUGUGCUCUGAUACCAAUUGUUGGGGAAUCCGGCUCCCCCAUGCGCGGACCGGGGGUGUUCUGAUAUUUGCUCAACGGAGGGUAAAGCACACUGACACAAUAUUUUACGUGGUUCGGCAAAUCCGCCUACAUCCACGGGAGAGAGUCAUUGUAUUAGAGAUAGAGAAAGGGUUACAAUAAAUACAUGUAGAGGAGGAGGAUUACAUCCACUCUACUCAACUCAUCAACUCUCAUUGCUGCUCUUGCAGCUGCUGCAAUGGCAGCAAUGCUGCUGCCAUUGCAGCUCUCUUUCUCUCCACUCUCUUGCACACACUCACGUUCUCUCUCUCAUUUUUCUCUCAAAUAUAAGCCUCCUUUAUAGGCAUUUCAUGGUCAACAUGGAGGGGCCAAUAGCCUUAAAGUAUGGCAUGAAUUGUGGCACAAUUCAUGCUUCCACUUGCUUAGUGGUGGGGUAUUGCCACAAAUGGCAAUAUCCUAACAAGUAGGACUUGUAACACAAUUCUGGUGCGAAGACUUGGUUAUAAGGAGGGUGAGAAUUGAGGAGAAGGUAGAAAAGCUACAGAGAUAGGGUAGAUUCAAUACCACUGUUACAAAACCCAAAUUGGGCUAAUUUGAGUAACCCAUCCAGUGAAAUCCAAUCAAGAAACCGUUGAUUUUUUUUAAAAUAAUCCUUUUCAAAACAACUUUGUUUUUACUUAUUUUAUAAAAAUAAUUAGGUUAACCCUCUUAUGUCUUAUCCUGAAUUGACCUAACUUGAGCUUAAUCACAAUGAAAAUGAGCAUGAGCUGUGUGAAAGGAAUAAAAAUACUGACAUACUCACUAGCCAUUUGCAAAGGCAAAAUUGAGAAAAAUAUCAUGAUUAUUGAGUAAUGAAACAAUAUUAAACAAUUUACAAAGGCAUUUACAUAUCUGUAUUGUUCUUAUGUAAGUGAAUUUUUUUUUUUGAUGUAAACACAAUCAUAUUAAUAAAAAAAAACUCCCGAGAUGUUACACCUCGAGAGCUGCUUUCGUGCGCUAAAGGCAGUUAAAAAGUUACAUCAUGAAUCUUUGGAAAAGUCAAAUUUGGAACGAUGACCCACAAUAUGCAUAGUACUAGAAAAUUUCAGAAUGAAAGAUUCCUUUACCUUGCAAUUCCAAUUAAUUGAGAGAGCCCGCGAUUAAUUAAGUAAUCUCUUACAUUAUUUCUUCACCGAUUCAAUUAAAGGAGAGAAAACUGAUGCAAAUAAAAAACAAAAUAUUUUUUCAUAGUUAUUUUUAUUUAUUUUUAUUUAGUUUAAAAAUGAGCUACGGAUCUUGAACAAAUGAGCCAACAAUUAAGCAUUCUAGAUAUUAUAGGACUUGGAAUGAAUUUUCCUACGAUUUACCAAAUCUUCCACCCAAUAGAAACUGAUGUCACUGUUGUUGACAUAUGUCAAAUUCUGUAAAAUAAGAACAAAGAUGAAUACGAAAUUUCACAAUUAAAAAUUCCAACAAAUAUUCCAUUUAUUUUUUUCUAUAAAUACCUAUCAUUGGAGCCUAGGAUCUUUAUCUGCCAUAGCAAACCAUAUCCCUUAGACAUGAUGUCCUUACUACAGAAACCAUUCUUAAAGUUUCUCCGAGUCCUUUUUUUUCUCCUUCUAAUGUGCAUUCCUUCUUUCUUUGCCUUUCCUCCUAAUUUCUCUGCAACUUCAUUUGGUGCUGCCAAAUAUGUAGCUGCUGAAGGUAAUAAAGAAGUGGAGGCCCUCCUAAAAUGGAAAGCAAGUCUUGAUGACAACCACAGCCAAUCUGUCUUGUCUUCUUGGGUUGGUAGCAGCCCUUGCAGGUGGCUUGGAAUCACUUGUGACAAUUCUGAAAGUGUCGCGGAUUUCGGCCUUCCAAAUUUUGGUCUGAGAGGUACGCUUCAUAGUUUCAACUUCUCAUCCUUCCCCAAUCUUCUCACUCUCAAUCUCUCGAGCAAUUCACUCUACGGAACUAUUCCAUCCCACAUUAGUAACCUGACCAAAAUCACCAAUUUAGACUUGAGUGAUAAUCAUUUCACAGGAAAUAUUCCACAUGAGAUAGGAUUGUUAACAAGUCUUAACUUUCUCUACCUUCAUGAAAAUAAUAUCAUCGGUUUGAUCCCAGACUCUAUUGGAACCCUGAAACAACUAUCCAUUCUCUAUCUAUGGGGUAACAACCUCUUUGGCUUGAUACCUCCAGAGAUUGGAUCACUACAGUCUCUCAGUUCCCUUGACUUGUCAAGCAAUGAUUUAAUUGGUAGGAUCCCUUCUUCAAUUGGAAAUCUGAGAAACUUAUCAAUUCUUUCUCUUAGAGAUAACAAACUUUCUGGUUCCAUCCCUUCUUCUAUUGGAAAUCUGAGAAACUUAUCUAUUCUCAAAAUCUCGAUAAACAAACUUUCUAGUUCCAUUCCUUCUUUUCUUGGGAAUAUGAGUAAGCUUAUUGAGUUGCGCCUUAGUAAAAAUAAUCUCACCGGUUUGAUCCCAGUCUCUAUUGGAACUCUAAAACACCUAUCCGUUCUUCAUCUAGGGCAUAACAAACUCUCUGGUUCUAUUCCUUCUUCCAUUGGGAACAUGACUAUGCUCACUCAACUUGCUCUGCACAUGAAUAAUUUAUCUGCAUCUGUUCCUCGGGAAAUAGGACAUCUUGAAUCCCUUGUUGAAUUGAGUUUGCACACUAAUAAUCUCGAUGGUUCUCUACCCCCUGAGAUGAAUAAUCUCACACAUUUGAUGAAUUUGCAAUUGUCUUCAAACAAUUUCACUGGCCAUUUACCACGAGACUUGUGCCUUGGUGGGUUGCUUGUAAAUUUUUCAGCCGGCUACAAUCAUUUUUCUGGUCCAAUCCCUAAAAGCUUGCGAAAUUGUACUAGUCUUUUUAGAUUUAGGCUUGACUGGAACCAAUUGACAGGGAAUAUUUCUGAAGAUUUUGGCCUCUACCCAAACUUGAACUAUGUGGACCUAAGUCACAAUAAUUUGUAUGGUGAGCUUACGUGGAAAUGGAGAGGUUUUCACAACUUGGUGAGCCUAAAAUUGUCAAACAAUAAUAUCUCCGGUGAGAUACCAUCAGAGCUUGGAGAGGCUACUGGGCUACACAUGAUUGAUCUCUCGUCAAAUCUCCUAAAGGGGACAAUUCCAAAAGAAUUGGGGCAGUUGAAGGCGUUGUUCAACCUUACUCUUCAUAACAACCAUCUUUUUGGUGUCAUUCCCUUUGAAAUCCAAAUGCUAUCUCAACUUCAAUCCCUUAAUUUAGCUUCUAAUAAUCUUGGUGGAUCAAUCCCAAAACAACUGGGAGAGUGCUUAAAUUUAUUACAGUUGGACUUGAGUCAUAAUAAGUUCAUAGGGAGCAUCCCAUCUGAGAUAGGCUUCCUGCAUUUUCUUGGAAAUCUAGAUCUCAGUGGGAAUCUUCUGGCAGGAGAGAUACCAUCACAAAUUGGGCAAUUGAAUCAGUUAGAAACGAUGAACCUCUCUCACAACAAACUUUCCGGUUUGAUUCCAACUGCUUUUGUAGAUUUGGUGAGCUUGACAACUGUAGACAUCUCCUACAAUGAACUAGAGGGCCCUCUUCCCAAAAUCAAAGCCUUCAUUGAAGCUCCAUUUGAAGCUUUUAUAAAUAAUAGUGGUCUCUGUGGAAAUGCCAGUGGUCUAAAGCCUUGUACUCUUCUUACAAGCAGGAGAAAGAGCAACAAAAUUGUCAUUUUGAUUCUUUUUCCUCUCCUGGGCAGUCUACUUCUACUACUUAUCAUGGUUGGGUGUUUAUACUUUCACCACCGAACAAGUAGAGAAAGAAUCUCCUGUUUAGGAGAGCGACAAAGUCCACACAGUUUUGUAGUAUGGGGCCAUGAGGAAGAGAUCCUACAUGAAACUAUCAUCCAGGCCACUAAUAAUUUCAACUUCAAUAACUGCAUUGGGAAAGGGGGAAAUGGAAUUGUUUAUCGAGCCAUGUUGCCAACAGGUCAGGUGGUUGCCGUGAAGAAACUUCACCCAUCAAGAGAGGGCGAGCUUAUGGAUUUGAAAACUUUUAGGAAUGAGAUUCGCAUGUUAAUAGAUAUUCGACAUCGGAAUAUUGUGAAGUUAUAUGGAUUUUGUUCAUUAAUAGAGCACUCCUUUUUAGUUUAUGAGUUCAUAGAAAGGGGAAGUUUGAAGAUGAAUUUAUCUAGCGAAGAACAGGCAAUGGACUUGGAUUGGAAUAGAAGGCUUAAUGUUGUUAAAGGAGUGG